Long non-coding RNA from Brassica napus (rape), 1775 nucleotides. RefSeq lists it as uncharacterized. The record is from RefSeq and is a predicted model, not a curated record. The transcript is spliced from 3 exons. Lineage: Eukaryota; Viridiplantae; Streptophyta; Magnoliopsida; Brassicales; Brassicaceae.
UUGAUCGAGAUUAAGGCUCACAUAAAACAACACAUGUCAUGAAAGUGAGUAGCAUGUACUAAGUAAACUAAAACAGAAAUAUAUAUGUAUGAUGACAACGAAAGUUGUAUUCCCCAUUGAUGUAACUUGUGCUUCCAAUGUUUAUACACUGUAAAGGGCAAACUUCUUGGGGUCAGCUCUUGAGAGAAAAGUUUAUAGUGUCGUACGAAUCACAAAUUCUAACUAUGACAGAAAAGAUUAUUGCUCUUUAGUCUUUACCUAAAACUUCUUGGGAUCUCUAGUCGUAUCUUUUAGGUAAAAUAAUCAGUAUAUAUAAAAAAAUCUUUUACAAAUGAGUACACAUGUUUGUGUCCAACCCCAUGAUAUAUAUACGAUUUGGAUAUGAUCUAACUCACAGUUGAUGAAAAAAGAAAUCAUAAUAGAUAUGGAUUAAACACUUAAGACCUACCUUAUCCUCCUAAAGGUUUGGUGGACGAUUCAAAGAUCAAUUAUGCUGAUGUAUUGGUCUUUAUGGGGCUAUUCUAGAACUGUGCUUUUGAUCCGUCGCCUCUUUUGCUUGGCAUAUUUUUUAACACAAAACAAUGCCAAAGGUUUUAUGUUUGGUCUAAAACGUUACUUCAAGAAAGAUGUAUUGGGCCUUAUUUCCACAGUACUUCAAGAAAGAAGAUCUUUGAGUGAAUCUCAAUAUAUAAAAGGGAUUGAGCUAGAACUCUCAACCAUCCAACUCAGCAGAUUAAAUCAACUAAUUAGAGAGCAUUACGAUGCCACAUCACUCCAGCUUUGUCGAAACCCUAGCAUGUCUCAUCGUCUUCAGACUCUUCACCUUCUAUGUGUUUCUAACUUCUCCGAUUCUCAUCUGUAACGUCGGUCUCCAACUCAUAAAACUUUUUAUUUACUGCGACAAUCGAAACCAAGAAACUGUUGAGAAUCUCUCCACUUUUCAUUUAUUUAUACCCAUUUUCACAUUUUCUUCCCCACGCCAAAAUAUUGAAAACCGUAUAACUUCAGAAAAUGGCUUUCAGAUCUGCAAAAUCCAUCGGGAAGGCUACAAGGAGGUUUUCUUUCUCCAAAAUUUGUUUUAGGGUUCUUGGAAAUUUGGCUUUUCUAGAAAAAGCUUCCAUUGAUUUUGCAGAUUUCCUUACAGAAGCAGACUAAUUGUCUUCAUUCCUCUCAAGUUUUCCAUAUCUGGUGUUGUCAUUGAAUGUAAUCUCUCUUCUCUUUUUGUUUUAAAGUAUUAGUAAGAAGAAAUAGUUCUUUAUUGUUGUGUGCGGUUACAAUUGAGAAGAUCCAAGGAGGCAUUGAUUUAAGAUGAAAAUAAGGUCAAUACUUUCCAAGGAGGAUAGCUUCAGACGCCUACUGAGCAAUGGUUAUUUAGAUGAAUAUAAUGAAGAUGAAAUGAGCUUAGAUGUUAACAUGGAUUAGAGUAUUGGUCUAGGAGGUUCAACUGAUUCCAUUGGUGAAUCAGGUGGAUGGAUGGUUCAGAAGAGAAUGCACACUCGCCAGUUCCUGCAACAAAGAAGGUGAAUUGAUGAUCAAACAGAGAGAGGUGAAACAUUGACACCACUUCUGAAAUGUACAAAGCUUAUGAAAGUUUUCUUAGAAGUAGUGAGAUCGCUCUAUGAAAUUUUAGUUGCAUUGAUAGAUGAGAAAAAGUGGAUACAUAUUGUUGUGUAUUGGUCCUUGCCUAAAAGAACUUUGAGAUGUUUGCUAUGUUUUUUUCAUCAGAUUAAAGGGUCAAUUAUACCGUUAAUACAAUAAUAUAUUUUCUGAGGUUA